RNAcentral lists this ribosomal RNA (444 nucleotides) under Theileria sp. Its description in RNAcentral is "SSU rRNA". It matches the Rfam family "Eukaryotic small subunit ribosomal RNA", at positions 498 to 978 of the family's 1831-position model. Lineage: Eukaryota; Apicomplexa; Aconoidasida; Piroplasmida; Theileriidae. The record is from RNAcentral.
AUGUCUUGUAAUUGGAAUGAUGGGAAUUUAAACCUCUUCCAGAGUAUCAAUUGGAGGGCAAGUCUGGUGCCAGCAGCCGCGGUAAUUCCAGCUCCAAUAGCGUAUAUUAAAUUUGUUGCAGUUAAAAAGCUCGUAGUUGAAUUUCUGCUGCAUUACAUUUCUCUUGUUUGAGUUUGUUAUUGUGGCUUAUUUCGGAUUGAUUUUUAUCAUUCCGGAUGAUUACUUUGAGAAAAUUAGAGUGCUCAAAGCAGGCUUUUGCCUUGAAUAGUUUAGCAUGGAAUAAUAGAGUAGGACUUUGGUUCUAUUUUGUUGGUUUUAGGUACCAAAGUAAUGGUUAAUAGGAACAGUUGGGGGCAUUCGUAUUUAACUGUCAGAGGUGAAAUUCUUAGAUUUGUUAAAGACGAACUACUGCGAAAGCAUUUGCCAAGGAUGUUUUCAUUAAUC